This 292-nucleotide ribosomal RNA is filed under the name uncultured bacterium. Its description in RNAcentral is "partial 16S ribosomal RNA". It matches the Rfam family "Bacterial small subunit ribosomal RNA", at positions 505 to 796 of the family's 1533-position model. The record is from RNAcentral.
GUGCCAGCCGCCGCGGUAAGACGAACCGUACGAACGUUAUUCGGAAUCACUGGGCUUAAAGGGUGCGUAGGCGGCUUUGCAAGUCGGGUGUGAAAGCCCUCGGCUCAACCGAGGAAUUGCGCCCGAAACUGCCGAGCUUGAGGGACACAGAGGUAAGCGGAACUUAGGGUGGAGCGGUGAAAUGCGUUGAUAUCCUAAGGAACACCAGGAGCGAAAGCGGCUUACUGGGUGUCUACUGACGCUGAGGCACGAAAGCCAGGGGAGCGAAGAGGAUUAGAUACCCCCGUAGUCC